GAAUUGGGAUAUUUUAGAUAGAGAAGAAGGUAGAUGGAGACAGACCUCGCAGAUCUGUCCUGCUGCAGCCUUUCCUGUAGAUCUGUUGAUGGAGAUCUCACCCGUGCCUCAAACGACCUCAGAUCAACUCCAGAUCUGAGAGGGGCUUGUAUCAACCUCUUCGCAAGAGAUUUCAAGUCCUGGACCUGGUGCUUGGGUGGCUGCAAGAGAGGGAGAGAGGGAUCUGGUUGGCGGCUGCAAGAGAGGAGGGGCUAGCGCCUCCUUCCUUUUUGGGCCUGGCGGCAAGAAACCCUAGGGUUUCUUGCUCCUGGGGUGUGGAGAAUUGCUGGAGAGAGAGGGAGAAGAGAGAGAGAGACUUGGGAGAAAGAGUCUUGUAUUCUCUUGGCUUGAUCAAACCUAUACAAGUACAUGUAUAUAUAAACACAGGGUCAAGUGACCCAAACCCAAAACUCCCUUGACCAACUCUAUGGGAGAUUAGGUUAACCCAAGCCCAUGUACAUGCUUGACUCGACCUAAUCUCACCUAUCCUGGGCCCAAACCUGGC
This 544-nucleotide long non-coding RNA is filed under the name Elaeis guineensis (African oil palm). Its description in RNAcentral is "long non-coding RNA (EGUI_LNC003937)". The record is from RNAcentral. Lineage: Eukaryota; Viridiplantae; Streptophyta; Magnoliopsida; Arecales; Arecaceae.